CGAAUCCACUCAGGAAGUUUCUGCAGCGUGCCUGUUCGUGAGUAACGGUGGUCACACAGAACGAUGCACGCGUAAUCGCCACGGUGACGGAUCGCACGGCCUGCGUGGACAAAGGGACUUUUGCCAUCUAUGUGAGGCUGAGACGGGAGGAGACGGAGUGUUAGACAUGUCAGAUGCCUUUUAUUUGUGAGCUGCUUAAUGAAUUCUCACCAUAUGUUUGUCCAGGUAUGCGUUCAGGACUUCAGACUCUAAGCGCUGGAGGACUCCAGUACUCUCCCAGUGUCCCAGAAUUCUCUUCUCGUAUUCGUAGGAGGGGAAAAAACAGACCACACCCCCUGGUACGAUGUUACACAGGUUUG
Long non-coding RNA from Triplophysa rosa, 359 nucleotides. RefSeq lists it as uncharacterized. The transcript is spliced from 4 exons. NCBI's taxonomy places the organism in Eukaryota, Metazoa, Chordata, Actinopteri, Cypriniformes, Nemacheilidae. The record is from RefSeq and is a predicted model, not a curated record.